AUUUAAACAUUACCAAAAUAGCUUUUUUUAUUUAAUUUUUUUUAUUUAGUUGAUUCUUCUGUAGCAUCAACCUCCCCAGUUGUCAUCUGCAGCAUCAACCGUCCCAAUUGUUUUAACUGCUUCAUCCGAUACUUCUGCUGUUUCAUCGGUAUCAUUAGUCUCUUCAGAAAUAGAAGUUAUUAAAUGUUGGUGGCUCAUCAUUCAGUGCAUUUAAGAAAGGCAUGCUUUGAAA
Non-coding RNA from Hydra vulgaris (swiftwater hydra), 232 nucleotides. NCBI's taxonomy places the organism in Eukaryota, Metazoa, Cnidaria, Hydrozoa, Anthoathecata, Hydridae. The record is from RefSeq and is a predicted model, not a curated record.